This 492-nucleotide ribosomal RNA is filed under the name uncultured bacterium. Its description in RNAcentral is "partial 16S ribosomal RNA". It matches the Rfam family "Bacterial small subunit ribosomal RNA", at positions 29 to 507 of the family's 1533-position model. The record is from RNAcentral.
AGUGAACGCUGGCAGUAGGCCUAACACAUGCAAGUCGAACGGCAGCACAGUAAGAGCUUGCUCUUACGGGUGGCGAGAGGCGGACGGGUGAGGAAUACAUCGGAAUCUACUUUUUCGUGGGGGAUAACGUAGGGAAACUUACGCUAAUACCGCAUACGACCUACGGGUGAAAGCAGGGGAUCUUCGGACCUUGCGCGAUUGAAUGAGCCGAUGUCGGAUUAGCUAGUUGGCGGGGUAAAGGCCCACCAAGGCGACGAUCCGUAGCUGGUCUGAGAGGAUGAUCAGCCACACUGGAACUGAGACACGGUCCAGACUCCUACGGGAGGCAGCAGUGGGGAAUAUUGGACAAUGGGCGCAAGCCUGAUCCAGCCAUACCGCGUGGGUGAAGAAGGCCUUCGGGUUGUAAAGCCCUUUUGUUGGGAAUGAAAAGCAGCAGGUUAAUACCCCGCUGUUCUGACGGUACCCAAAGAAUAAGCACCGGCUAACUUCGUG